Molecule: ribosomal RNA, 449 nt
Filed under: uncultured bacterium
Lineage: Bacteria
Description: partial 16S ribosomal RNA
Rfam family: Bacterial small subunit ribosomal RNA
Source: RNAcentral
AGCGAACGCUGGCGGCAGGCCUAACACAUGCAAGUCGAACGGACCCUUCGGGGUUAGUGGCGGACGGGUGAGUAACACGUGGGAACGUGCCUUUAGGUUCGGAAUAGCUCCUGGAAACGGGUGGUAAUGCCGAAUGUGCCCUUCGGGGGAAAGAUUUAUCGCCUUUAGAGCGGCCCGCGUCUGAUUAGUUAGGUGGCGAGGUAAUGGCUCACCUAGGCGACGAUCAGUAGCUGGUCUGAGAGGAUGACCAGCCACAUUGGGACUGAGACACGGCCCAAACUCCUGCGGGAGGCAGCAGUGGGGAAUCUUGCGCAAUGGGCGAAAGCCUGACGCAGCCAUGCCGCGUGGAUGAUGAAGGUCUUAGGAUUGUAAAAUCCUUUCACCGGUGAAGAUAAUGACUGUAGCCGGAGAAGAAGCCCCGGCUAACUUCGUGCCAGCAGCCGCAGUAA